CAAUAGCGUAUAUUAAUGUUGUUGCAGUUAAAAAGCUCGUAGUUGGAUUUCUGGUGGGAGCGGCCGGUCCGCCGUAAGGUGUGUACUUGGUUGUCUCCUGUCAUCCUUGUGGGAACUGCUCUGGCAUUAAGUUGUCGGGGUUAGGGAACACAUCGUUUACUGUGAAAAAAUUAGAGUGUUUAAAGCAGGCUUAUGCCGUUGAAUACAUUAGCAUGGAAUAAUAAGAUAGGACUUUGGCGUCUAUUUUGUUGGUUUGCACACCAAGGUAAUGAUUAAUAGGGAUAGUUGGGGGUAUUCGUAUUUAAUUGUCAGAGGUGAAAUUCUUGGAUUUAUGAAAGACGAACUUCUGCGAAAGCAUUUACCAAAGAUGUUUNCAUUA
RNAcentral lists this ribosomal RNA (379 nucleotides) under uncultured eukaryote. RNAcentral describes it as "partial 18S ribosomal RNA". It matches the Rfam family "Eukaryotic small subunit ribosomal RNA", at positions 592 to 975 of the family's 1831-position model. The record is from RNAcentral.